GGAGAGGUAGUUUAACGACUAAGAACGGCGCACCGCGCAAACCCGGGUUUGAAUCCCGGCCUCUCCC
RNAcentral lists this transfer RNA (67 nucleotides) under Candidatus Saccharimonadota bacterium. RNAcentral's name for it is "Candidatus Saccharibacteria bacterium tRNA-OTHER". It matches the Rfam family "tRNA". From Rfam's summary of the family: Transfer RNA (tRNA) molecules are approximately 80 nucleotides in length. Their secondary structure includes four short double-helical elements and three loops (D, anti-codon, and T loops). Further hydrogen bonds mediate the characteristic L-shaped molecular structure. tRNAs have two regions of fundamental functional importance: the anti-codon, which is responsible for specific mRNA codon recognition, and the 3' end, to which the tRNAs corresponding amino acid is attached (by aminoacyl-tRNA synthetases). tRNAs cope with the degeneracy of the genetic code in two manners: having more than one tRNA (with a specific anti-codon) for a particular amino acid; and 'wobble' base-pairing, i.e. permitting non-standard base-pairing at the 3rd anti-codon position. The record is from RNAcentral. Lineage: Bacteria; Candidatus Saccharimonadota.